CAAUUUACUUUAAUUUAAAAUAAAAAAAUGGCUUAAAAUUUGUAGUUCGUUGAUCUCAAUUGCUUAAAAAAUUAUAACAAGAAAUUUUAUUUUUCAAUAGACUCGUCAAAUCUGAUAGGGUUCAGCUAACAAGUAAAUGCGGAUUUCAAGUCUGGUUUAAAACAAAUGCUGGAUUGAAAAUAGUAAUUCCAAUAGAGUUUUCGAUUAGAAUGUCAACGAAAAAUCGAUGAAAAGGAAAAACUCAUCAAAUCUACAGACAGUUCGAUACCACUGGAUGUCUUUCUCUUCUGUUUUCGUAUAUGUCAGAGUUCUGUAAUAUUUAAAAAUGCAAACGGGCCACACACUCGUCAACUAACAACAAACAAACAAGCACAAAAAAUCAGAUACAUAUCGCUUCUGUACCCCUUCAAAGAGAUACUCAAAAAACAGAAAAAGAAAAAAAUACAAAAGAGAAGAGCAGAGCUGAGAAGAGAAGAGAGUAGAAAAACACAUCGAGUACAGAACAUAGCUGAAAAACACGAGCCACGGCGACAGAGUUGCAGCCAAAAUAACAGCAACAAGGAUAACGAGGACAUGGACAUUGCCACGAUGAUGAUGUUGUUGCUGUAGUGGGAAAGAGCUAGCCAGAUGCGAUGGAGUUGGAUUUGGCCAGGACUCGGCUCAGUUCGCCGAAAAUGUUGCGUUACGCGAAAAAAGAGGCGAGCGAUGAACGCGGCAACCGGCGGCAAUUGGGGAUAGCGAGCGGAUGAUGGGCCAGCGGAUAGGCGUGGCAGAGCAGGACAUGAGGACGAUUUGGACCUCUUCUCCUGGCUCACAACCCGCAAACCCCCCCUUUCACUCCGCCGAUUUUGCUAGUUAUUGUUAAGCCUUGCCUGGUUUCUGGCUCAGUCAAAGGUGCCAUGAGAAAUGUGUAUGCCAAUGAUGUAAACGGCGCUUUAAUGCUUCGACCAUGGAACUGGGGCACAUCGAGAAGACAAUAGAGCUCAGCUUUAAGUAACCAUACACACACAUAUAAUUGACUAAGUUGUGUGGAAUUGAGUUCGUUUUCUAUGGGAGAAACAAUCCUGGAAACUCCCUCGACUUAUACAUCUUAUUUUUAAAGCAUA
Molecule: long non-coding RNA, 1106 nt
Organism: Drosophila nasuta
Lineage: Eukaryota; Metazoa; Arthropoda; Insecta; Diptera; Drosophilidae
Exons: 3
Source: RefSeq, a predicted model, not a curated record